This 218-nucleotide ribosomal RNA is filed under the name Glomeromycotina sp. RNAcentral describes it as "partial small subunit ribosomal RNA". The stretch from base 93 to 218 matches the Rfam family "Eukaryotic small subunit ribosomal RNA", at positions 738 to 864 of the family's 1831-position model. Lineage: Eukaryota; Fungi; Glomeromycota. The record is from RNAcentral.
GGGUCUAUCCAUUGGUCGGGCUUUACGGUCCGUACUGGUUCGAUGGGUCCCUACCUUCUGAAUAACCGGCAUGCCAUUCAGUUGGUGCGCCGGGGAAGCAGAGCUAUUACCUUGAAAAAAUUAGAGUGCUUAAAGCAGGCUAUUGCUUGAAUAGAUUAGCAUGGAAUAAUAAAAUAGGACGGCAUGGUUCUAUUUUGUUGGUUUCUAGGAUCACCGUA